RNAcentral lists this ribosomal RNA (484 nucleotides) under uncultured bacterium. Its description in RNAcentral is "partial 16S ribosomal RNA". It matches the Rfam family "Bacterial small subunit ribosomal RNA", at positions 28 to 507 of the family's 1533-position model. The record is from RNAcentral.
AUUGAACGCUGGCGGCAUGCUUUACACAUGCAAGUCGAACGGCAGCGCGGGCUUCUUCCUGGCGGCGAGUGGCGAACGGGUGAGUAAUGCAUCGGAACGUGCCCAGUAGUGGGGGAUAGCCCGGCGAAAGCCGGAUUAAUACCGCAUACGACCUGAUGGUGAAAGCGGGGGACCGAAAGGCCUCGCGCGAUUGGAGCGGCCGAUGUCGGAUUAGCUAGUUGGUGGGGUAAAGGCUUACCAAGGCGACGAUCCGUAGCUGGUCUGAGAGGACGACCAGCCACACUGGGACUGAGACACGGCCCAGACUCCUACGGGAGGCAGCAGUGGGGAAUUUUGGACAAUGGGGGCAACCCUGAUCCAGCCAUGCCGCGUGCGGGAAGAAGGCCUUCGGGUUGUAAACCGCUUUUGUUCGGGAAGAAAUCCUCUGGGCUAAUACCCCGGGGGGAUGACGGUACCGGAAGAAUAAGCACCGGCUAACUACGUG